CACUUGUUAGUGGCAGAAUCUUUGGAGAAAUCAUAGUUCUUGGGCUCUGGGGGAACUACGACCGCAAGGCUGAAACUUGAAGGAAUUGACGGAAGGGCACACCAGGGGUGGAGCCUGUGGCUUAAUUUGAAUCAACACGGGGAAACUUACCAGGACCAGAUGUUUUUUAUGACUGACAGGCUUUGGGUCUUUCAGGAUAUUGCUUUUGGUGGUGCAUGGCCGUUGGUGGUGCGUGGGUUGACCUGUCUAGCGUUGAUUCAGCUAACGAGCGAGAUUAUCGCCAAUUAUUUACUUCGUCUAAGUCCUUAGAUGCAAGUUCUAAUUGGGACUCCCUGCGAUUUUAGCAGGUGGAAGAGGGUAGCAAUAACAGGUCCGUGAUGCCCUUUAGAUGCUCUGGGCUGCACGCGUGCUACAAUGUUAGGAUCAAUAGGACUGCAAAGCCGAGAGGCUGCGCUACUCUUAUAAUCCCUAACGUAGUUGGGAUUGACGUUUGUAAUCAGCGUCAUGAACCAGGAAUCCCUUGU
This 524-nucleotide ribosomal RNA is filed under the name Trichomonas tenax. Its description in RNAcentral is "SSU rRNA". It matches the Rfam family "Eukaryotic small subunit ribosomal RNA", at positions 1068 to 1618 of the family's 1831-position model. Lineage: Eukaryota; Parabasalia; Trichomonadida; Trichomonadidae. The record is from RNAcentral.